RNAcentral lists this transfer RNA (62 nucleotides) under Metacrangonyx panousei. RNAcentral's name for it is "transfer RNA Lysine". Lineage: Eukaryota; Metazoa; Arthropoda; Malacostraca; Amphipoda; Metacrangonyctidae. The record is from RNAcentral.
CACGAGAUGGCUGAAAAAGUGUAAAUUUUUUAAAUUUACCAUAGUAGAAAUACUUUUCGUGG